UUGUAGCCAUUAAUUAUUAGAUUAAGUUGUUAGUAUUAACCAAAUUAAGAUAAUACAUUUACACACGCACACACACACAGAUCUCCAGUUAUAAGGAGGCCGGACACUUCUAAUCACACACAGUGUAUGUAUUGUUCCCGUUGCUUUUGGACAGAUGAUCACAAGCGAGUGUAAAAGACUACGCAGAGAUUCUUACAAAAGCACGGGAACCUAGAACAGUGUUUU
This is a non-coding RNA of Cinara cedri, 225 nucleotides long. The record is from the annotation of a GenBank genome assembly. NCBI's taxonomy places the organism in Eukaryota, Metazoa, Arthropoda, Insecta, Hemiptera, Aphididae.